RNAcentral lists this ribosomal RNA (460 nucleotides) under uncultured bacterium. RNAcentral describes it as "partial 16S ribosomal RNA". It matches the Rfam family "Bacterial small subunit ribosomal RNA", at positions 338 to 795 of the family's 1533-position model. The record is from RNAcentral.
CCUACGUGGGGCAGCAGUGAGGAAUAUUGGUCAAUGGGCGCGAGCCUGAACCAGCCAAGUAGCGUGAAGGAUGACUGCCCUACGGGUUGUAAACUUCUUUUAUAAAGGAAUAAAGUGAGGCACGUGUGCCUUUUUGUAUGUACUUUAUGAAUAAGGAUCGGCUAACUCCGUGCCAGCAGCCGCGGUAAUACGGAGGAUCCGAGCGUUAUCCGGAUUUAUUGGGUUUAAAGGGAGCGUAGAUGGGUUGUUAAGUCAGUUGUGAAAGUUUGCGGCUCAACCGUAAAAUUGCAAUUGAUACUGGCAGUCUUGAGUACAGUUGAGGUAGGCGGAAUUCGUGGUGUAGCGGUGAAAUGCUUAGAUAUCACGAAGAACUCCGAUUGCGAAGGCAACUUACUAAACUGCCACUGACAUUGAUGCUCGAAAGUGUGGGUAUCAAACAGGAUUAGAUACCCCUGUAGUC